Long non-coding RNA from Monodelphis domestica (gray short-tailed opossum), 1981 nucleotides. RefSeq lists it as uncharacterized. The record is from RefSeq and is a predicted model, not a curated record. NCBI's taxonomy places the organism in Eukaryota, Metazoa, Chordata, Mammalia, Didelphimorphia, Didelphidae.
GACACAUAGACUCCAUUACAUCAUAGUACGCUGACUAGGAGGGGUAAUAAAGAGGGAGUUGGGGAAACAUAUUGAAACAGCCAGUCCAGGGUCUCUGGUAAUCUGUCAAGGUCCUGUGGUCAUCUCUCUCCUUGAUAGUCUCACUAGACAGCAGAAAGCUGAAAAUGCUUGUCUGAGAAGCCAGAGAAACCAGGACUUGCCUAAGAACAUACUGAGAAGCACUUAUCAGGAAAGUGGUCACGAAACACAAGCCACAGACUGCUGAAUCCAGUGCAAAGAAGGGAAAAGAUCCCUGCUGCUCCCACCAGAACCACAGCUUUCCAAUCUGAGAGCUGGGAAUGCUUGUCUGAGAAGCCAGAGAAACCAGGACUUGCCUAAGAACAUCCUGAGAAGCACUUAUCAGGAAAGUGGUCACGAAACACAAGCCACAGACUGCUGAAUCCAGUGCAAAGAAGGGAAAAGAUCCCUGCUGCUCCCACCAGAACCAUAGCUUUCCAUUCUGAGAGCUGGGAAUGCUUGUCUGAGAAGCCAGAGAAACCAGGACUUGCCUAAGAACAUCCUGAGAAGCACUUAUCAGGAAAGUGGUCACGAAACACAAGCCACAGACUGCUGAAUCCAGUGCAAAGAAGGGAAAAGAUCCCUGCUGCUCCCACCAGAACCAUAGCUUUCCAUUCUGAGAGCUGGGAAUGCUUGUCUGAGAAGCCAGAGAAACCAGGACUUGCCUAAGAACAUCCUGAGAAGCACUUAUCAGGAAAGUGGUCACGAAACACAAGCCACAGACUGCUGAAUCCAGUGCAAAGAAGGGAAAAGAUCCCUGCUGCUCCCACCAGAACCAUAGCUUUCCAUUCUGAGAAAUCAUGACGAGAAGACUAAAGGGAGUGUCAAAAGGGCCUGCCUGAGUUAGGAGGAAAAUUGAGGAAGCCAAAGGGGAAAGGAGUUGAGCACUUUGAUUCCUAUGUUAAAUCCCAUGGAAGAGAUUCAUAUUAGGAAUUCUCCUCUACACUCCCUUCAAGUCCAGAAUACAGCCCUGACGAGUCCUUUCUAGGCAUUACUGACUCCCUUUGUGAUCUAUGGAGCCAAAAAGGCCGCUAAUGGAUGUCUGAGAGGGGAGAGAGGUCCAGAAAUCUACUCAAAGGCAACUCUGAGGAUCAAUUGGCAGAGAAGUGGUGAGGAAAUAGAAGCCACAGACUGCUGAAUCCUGACUCAAAAGAAAGAUAAGACCCCUGCUAGUCCCUCCAGAGCAACAGAUUUCCAUUCUGAGGAAUCUUGGAGAGAAGACUAAACAGGAGUAAUAAAAGGGCUUUCAGAAACAGCUGCCUGAAAUACAAGAAGAGAUGAGAAAGCCAAAGGAGAAAGCAGUUGAGCACGUUGAUUCCUUUGGAAAAUCCCAAAGAAGAGGGCUGCUAAUGGAUGUCUAAGAGGGGAGAGAAUUCUGGGAAUUUACCCAAAGUUCACCCUGAAAUUCACUUGUCAGAAAAGUCAUCGGGAAACACAAUCAACAGACUGCUGAAUCCAGUCCCAAGGGAAAGAAAUGAUUCCUACUGGUCACCCCAGGACUGUGGCUUUCCAUUCUGAGAAUGUUGUCAUCCCCAUCCAUUGGCAGUUACGGUGGCAGAAGCCCGAAGGCGGCCCACAGAGGCACUUUCAGAUACACAUGCCUGACUGAGGCAGAAGAGUCAUGGCAACCCAAGGCAACACAGGCUGGCAAUAUUCAUUCCUAUGGAAUGCGAUGGUGGAAGAGUCAGACAUCUCUCCUCCUCGACUAGUCUGUGAUGUUCUACCAGCCACAGGGAGAUUGCUUCUCCCCCGACAUGCAAAGAUCAUGGAUAUCUCUCACUCAACUUGUCUCUCUCUGCUUCCACAAAGACUGAAGAAGAGCAAGAAUUAAGAAGCAGGAGCCCAAUUCAAUGUAGCAUUGGGGCUCCGAGUAUAGGAAAAAGCUUUCCCCGGAGGGCAAUAAACACUUCAUCACCCACCCAAA